This 497-nucleotide ribosomal RNA is filed under the name uncultured bacterium. RNAcentral describes it as "bacterial SSU rRNA". It matches the Rfam family "Bacterial small subunit ribosomal RNA", at positions 28 to 507 of the family's 1533-position model. The record is from RNAcentral.
GAUGAACGCUGGCGGCGUGCCUCAAACAUGCAAGUCGAGCGGGGCUAUGUAAUAUCGCAAGGUAGAACAUAGCCUAGCGGCGAACGGGUGAGUAACACGUGGGUAACCUGCCUGGAAGACAGGGAUAACGAUUCGAAAGGGUCGCUAAUACCUGAUAAUAUCCUUUCAUCGCAUGGUGAUAGGAAGAAAGGGGAAACCCGCUUUCAGAUGGGCCCGCGUCCCAUCAGCUAGUUGGUAAGGUAAAGGCUUACCAAGGCGACGACGGGUAGCCGGUCUGAGAGGAUGUACGGCCACACUGGGACUGAGAUACGGCCCAGACUCCUACGGGAGGCAGCAGUCGAGAAUAGUCUACAAUGGCCGGAAGGCUGAUAGUGCGACGCCGCGUGAACGAGGGAGCCCUUGGGGUGUAAAGUUCUUUCUAUACGAGCAGUGCUAUAUAUAUGGAUAGUAUAUAUAGAGGGAUAGUAGUAUAGGAAUAAGCAACGGCUAACUCCGUG